GACCCCAUCGUCUAGCCUGGUCAGGACAUCAGAUUUUCAUUCUGACGACCGGGGUUCAAAUCCCCGUGGGGUCGCCA
Molecule: transfer RNA, 77 nt
Filed under: Candidatus Omnitrophota bacterium
Lineage: Bacteria; Pseudomonadati; Candidatus Omnitrophota
Description: Candidatus Omnitrophica bacterium (sediment metagenome) tRNA-Glu
Rfam family: tRNA
About the family: Transfer RNA (tRNA) molecules are approximately 80 nucleotides in length. Their secondary structure includes four short double-helical elements and three loops (D, anti-codon, and T loops).
Source: RNAcentral